RNAcentral lists this transfer RNA (73 nucleotides) under Trichonephila inaurata madagascariensis. It matches the Rfam family "tRNA". Rfam says of the family: Transfer RNA (tRNA) molecules are approximately 80 nucleotides in length. Their secondary structure includes four short double-helical elements and three loops (D, anti-codon, and T loops). The record is from Rfam by way of RNAcentral. Lineage: Eukaryota; Metazoa; Arthropoda; Arachnida; Araneae; Nephilidae.
GUCCCUGUAGCGCAAUGGAUAGCGUGUUGAACUUCUAAUCCAAAGGUCGUGGGUUCGAACCCAACCUGGGAUG